This 386-nucleotide long non-coding RNA is filed under the name Cricetulus griseus (Chinese hamster). Its description in RNAcentral is "lncRNA (ENSCGRG00000024669.1)". The record is from RNAcentral. Lineage: Eukaryota; Metazoa; Chordata; Mammalia; Rodentia; Cricetidae.
UGGAGAAGGAGAUGCUGUUCAAACCACUCCCAGCCAACAGUGACUGGAAUGAGCUAAAAUGUCUACAACCUUUUUCACCAUAGAACAAAUAUAUGAAUUCACCAAAUAAAGAAUGACAGCUCUCAGGAAUUGUUUCCUAGGGACCAAACAAGAUCUGCUGAGAUCCAGCCUCAUCAAUGAUUAGAGUUGAUUUAUUCUAUGGAAGGCAUCUUCUUCAUCACUAUACAAGUUUCACACUGGAGAUUAUGCAGAGUGAGCACAAGUAUGGGGUGUCUAAGUUUUCUGGUAUUCCUAGGAAACCAGAUACUGGAUGUUUUGUGUGUGAUUUGAGAAUUCACAAAGGUCUUUUUAUGGGGAUUCAAAGGGAAAUGCAGACAUAUGAAUAG